This 253-nucleotide ribosomal RNA is filed under the name uncultured bacterium. RNAcentral's name for it is "partial 16S ribosomal RNA". It matches the Rfam family "Bacterial small subunit ribosomal RNA", at positions 524 to 776 of the family's 1533-position model. RNAcentral also lists the same sequence under 1 other name. The record is from RNAcentral.
UACGUAGGCAGCGAGCGUUGUUCGGAGUUACUGGGCGUAAAGCGUGCGUAGGCGGUGGUCCAAGUCUGGUGUGAAAUCUCCCGGCUUAACUGGGAGGGUGCGCCGGAAACUGGGCCGCUGGAGUACGGGAGAGGCAAGCGGAAUUCCAGGUGUAGCGGUGAAAUGCGUAGAUAUCUGGAGGAACACCCGUGGUGCAGACGGCUUGCUGGACCGUGACUGACGCUGAGGCACGAAAGCGUGGGUAGCAAACAGG